UAGGGAAUCUUCCGCAAUGGACGCAAGUCUGACGGAGCAACGCCGCGUGAGUGAAGAAGGAUUUCGGUUCGUAAAACUCUGUUGUUAGAGAAGAACAGCGCAUAGAGAAACUGUUAUGCGUGUGACGGUAUCUAACCAGAAAGCCACGGCUAACUACGUGCCAGCAGCCGCGGUAAUACGUAGGUGGCAAGCGUUGUCCGGAUUUAUUGGGAGUAAAGCGAGCGCGGGCGGUCCAUUAAGUCUGAUGUGAAAGCCCCCGGCUCAACCGGGGAGGGUCAUUGGAAACUUGUUGACUUGAGUGCAGAAGAGGAUAGUGGAAUUCCAUGUGUAGCGGUGAAAUGCGUAGAUAUAUGGAGGACCACCAGUGGCGAAGGCGACUCUCUGGUCUGUAACUGACGCUGAGGCUCGAAAGCGUGGGUAUCAAACAGG
Molecule: ribosomal RNA, 429 nt
Filed under: Bacteroidota bacterium
Lineage: Bacteria; Pseudomonadati; Bacteroidota
Description: Bacteroidetes bacterium partial 16S ribosomal RNA
Rfam family: Bacterial small subunit ribosomal RNA
Source: RNAcentral